GAAGUCGAGCGUAAAAUCGCGGUCCGGUUGGUAGCCCGGAUGCACGGGAUCUCCCGCUUUUCGGAGAUGCAAGCCCGUGUCAUAUCCUUCCCCCCUCGGGAUGUCCAUCGCUCGCAAGAUGUAA
Molecule: non-coding RNA, 124 nt
Filed under: Paenibacillus sp.
Lineage: Bacteria; Bacillati; Bacillota; Bacilli; Caryophanales; Paenibacillaceae
Also listed under: 1 other name
Description: Azaaromatic sequence
Rfam family: azaaromatic riboswitch aptamer (yjdF RNA)
Source: RNAcentral